This 496-nucleotide ribosomal RNA is filed under the name uncultured bacterium. RNAcentral describes it as "partial 16S ribosomal RNA". It matches the Rfam family "Bacterial small subunit ribosomal RNA", at positions 28 to 507 of the family's 1533-position model. The record is from RNAcentral.
GAUGAACGCUGGCGGCGUGCCUAAUACAUGCAAGUCGAGCGAACAGACGAGGAGCUUGCUCCUCUGACGUUGCGGCGGGCGGGUGAGUAACACGUUGAUAACCUACCUAUAAGACUGGGGUAACUUCGGGAAACCGGAGCUAAUACCGGAUAAUAUAUUUAACCGCCUUGUUCCAUAGUUAAAGACGGGUUUUCUGUCACUUAUAGAUGGAUCCGCGCCGCCUUAGCUAGUUGGUAAGGUAACGGCUUACCAAGGCAACGAUGCGUAGCCGACCUGAGAGGGUGAUCGGCCACACUGGAACUGAGACACGGUCCAGACUCCUACGGGAGGCAGCAGUAGGGAAUCUUCCGCAAUGGGCGAAAGCUUGACGGAGCAACGCCGCGUGAGUGAUGAAGGUCUUCGGAUCGUAAAACUCUGUUAUUAGGGAAGAACAAAUGUGUAAGUAACUAUGCACGUCUUGACGGUACCUAAUCAGAAAGCCACGGCUAACUACGUG